UACGUAGGGUGCAAGCGUUAUCCGGAAUGAUUGGGCGUAAAGCGUCCGCAGGUGGCUAUGUAAGUCUGCUGUUAAAGAGUCUAGCUUAACUAGAUAAAGGCAGUGGAAACUACAAGGCUAGAGUGCGUUCGGGGCAGAGGGAAUUCCUGGUGUAGCGGUGAAAUGCGUAGAUAUCAGGAAGAACACCGGUGGCGAAGGCGCUCUGCUAGGCCAAAACUGACACUGAGGGACGAAAGCUAGGGGAGCGAAUGGG
Molecule: ribosomal RNA, 253 nt
Filed under: uncultured bacterium
Lineage: Bacteria
Description: partial 16S ribosomal RNA
Rfam family: Bacterial small subunit ribosomal RNA
Source: RNAcentral